AUUGAACGCUGGCGGCAGGCCUAACACAUGCAAGUCGGACGGUAGCACAGAGGAGCUUGCUCCUCGGGUGACGAGUGGCGGACGGGUGAGUAAUGUCUGGGGAUCUGCCCGAUAGAGGGGGAUAACCACUGGAAACGGUGGCUAAUACCGCAUAACGUCGCAAGACCAAAGAGGGGGACCUUCGGGCCUCUCACUAUCGGAUGAACCCGGAUGGGAUUAGCUAGUAGGCGGGGUAACGGCCCACCUAGGCGACGAUCCCUAGCUGGUCUGAGGGGAUGACCAGCCACACUGGAACUGAGACACGGUCCAGACUCCUACGGGAGGCAGCAGUGGGGAAUAUUGCACAAUGGGCGCAAGCCUGAUGCAGCCAUGCCGCGUGUAUGAAGAAGGCCUUCGGGUUGUAAAGUACUUUCAGCGGGGAGGAAGGCGAUGUGGUUAAUAACCGCGUCGAUUGACGUUACCCGCAGAAGAAGCACCGGCUAACUCCGUGCCAGCAGCCGCCGUAA
RNAcentral lists this ribosomal RNA (506 nucleotides) under uncultured bacterium. RNAcentral's name for it is "partial 16S ribosomal RNA". It matches the Rfam family "Bacterial small subunit ribosomal RNA", at positions 29 to 523 of the family's 1533-position model. The record is from RNAcentral.